ACAAGGGAGUAGAUUCAAAACCUUUAAAAAUGUAAUAAACACUAAUCCCAGCAUACAAUCCCCAAUCUUGAACAACCAAAAUAGAAGAUUUGAAAUUUGGGUUCUCACAACCUGAGCAACCAUCAAUGCAAGAUCCCCACCCCAAUCUUCCAAAGGUCUCCAAAUUAUAUGACUUGUGGGGGAGACAAAGAACAAAUAAUCUGAAGAAAUUAAUUAUAGUAAAGACAUUAGAGAAACCAUGAAAAAGCUGAAUCUUUGAAGGGAAACAAAAAGGAAUUUCAAAGCAAAGAAGGGGAGAAAGAGGCUCAGAUUCACCACUUAAUCCAGCAUUGAGUUAGCAUUCAAGUCUCUGAAACUACAAGCCUAAGCGGCUGCAUAAGUUGCCUGUAGAAUGGUAGCAGCAGAACUGCCAAGAUUGCCUUAGCCAUUUCUACUUCGCAAUGCAGCAAGACCCUUGCCUAGGAAUCAUCACAGCCCUCUUCAUAUAAAACUAAAACAGGUGCCGCUUGCCCAAUCUGGGGAACAAAAAAUGAAGAAGAAAAGAAAAGAAAGAAAGAGAAAAAGAUGCUAAGGAGGAAGAAGAAGACCUAAGGCUCAGCGAUGCGAUGGAAUUCUUGAAUGGAUGAGACCGAAAGAUCCCCCACUUUGUCUCCUCGAGUGACCUCUCCAUCCAACAAUGGUUGUACACUGGUUGUCUGCAGAACAGCAAGCCUUCCAAAGUUGCCUCGCCCAUGCCCAUCGGUCAAGAAGGAACACAGAGAGGAGAGAUGAGAUGGGGGUCAAUUUCAAGAACAGCUUUAAGCUGCAGAAAGGCUAUGUCUGGUUCAAGAAUUAAGAUGACAAGUGAUAGGAAUAAGACAAAGAUAAGGUAAAAGAAGAAGAUGAGAGAAGCAGCAUUACGGUAACAAAAAAAACCUUCCUAGAUGCCAAAAGCCUCAUAUUAAAAACAACCAAAUGCUUUGAAGGCACCUUUGUUUCCACACAUAACAAUACUAUCAGGCAUACAAUCCCUAAUCUUGAACAACCAAAAUAGAAGAUUUGAAAAUUUAGGUUCUCAAUUUCCGAGCAACCAUCAAUGCAAGAUCCCCACCCCAAUCUUCCAAAGGUCUCC
RNAcentral lists this long non-coding RNA (1111 nucleotides) under Phoenix dactylifera (date palm). RNAcentral describes it as "long non-coding RNA (PDAC_LNC004524)". Lineage: Eukaryota; Viridiplantae; Streptophyta; Magnoliopsida; Arecales; Arecaceae. The record is from RNAcentral.